UACGAAGGGGGCGAGCGUUGUUCGGAUUUACUGGGCGUAAAGGGCGCGUAGGCGGCUCAUUUUGUCAGCCGUGAAAGCCCCGGGCUUAACCUGGGAACUGCGUUUGAUACGGAUGGGCUAGAGUUCGGGAGAGGAGAGUGGAAUUCCCAGUGUAGAGGUGAAAUUCGUAGAUAUUGGGAAGAACACCGGUGGCGAAGGCGGCUCUCUGGACCGAUACUGACGCUGAGGCGCGAAAGCGUGGGGAGCAAACAGG
Molecule: ribosomal RNA, 253 nt
Filed under: uncultured bacterium
Lineage: Bacteria
Description: partial 16S ribosomal RNA
Rfam family: Bacterial small subunit ribosomal RNA
Source: RNAcentral